Molecule: long non-coding RNA, 933 nt
Organism: Dromaius novaehollandiae (emu)
Lineage: Eukaryota; Metazoa; Chordata; Aves; Casuariiformes; Dromaiidae
Exons: 3
Source: RefSeq, a predicted model, not a curated record
GGACACACGUGCUGGCUGACGAUUUAUUUUGUGUCUUUGCUGAUACAGACCAGCUUGUGGUGAUAGGCUGUAGUUCCUGAAAUAGUCUUCUCUACUCUGGAGAACUUAAUUACUGGCCACAUGGGAUAUAAACAUUUGGAUGAUAGGGUUGUACAAGGACAGCUCUUGCAGAAGCAAGAGUUGCAUAUAAGGCCUUCUGCACUCCUUUAACCCCUGAGCUUGCUGAUUUUCUGCUGUUAGAUCUAAGCAAUACACGGGUAAAGUUGAGAGUUUGUUUUCUAUAAGGUAACAGCUAAACCAGCAGAGAAGCUGGCUCUGCAUUUCAGUCUUCAGCAUGUUUCAAUAGGUUUGACUGGAAAAUCCCGCUAUUAAGUAUACACCACCCUUCCUGUGUGACACUAGAGGUAAGUUUCCAAUGUGACUUAGUAUUUUUUCCCUUCCAGAACAGUAACGUAGCAGCUUGGUGGGAUUCUCAGCAGGCAGUGUGCUCUUUGCUGAAAAGUUUCCAAGUUUCUCCGGAAUAUUUCAGAGACUAGUGAAGCUGGGAAGCUUUUGAUUUCAACUGCCCCAGAUGGCUCAGCUGCUUGUAGGAUGGCAUGUUUUGACCACAGUCACUCAGCGCUGUCAGUGUGCGUAACCAGCCGUCUUGUGAAGGUGCCUGGUGUACUAGCUGUCCCUGUGGCCUGUGUGUUAGCAGCAGCAGAAAAGGCACAGACAACUGACAGUCAUCUAAAUCCUACCAGAUGGAAAUCCCCCACUUAUUAUUAUACCUGGAGGAUUAGUAAAAAGGAGGAUGAGAACUCUCACCAAAGCCUGCUGAAGGCUGCGUCCAUCCCUGAUGUCAUAAAAGAUGAAACGACGAGGAUGAUGAGGGAGGUGAGUUGCUUAACACUUCUCGCUUUCAGCAUUCAGGAGUUGAACAUGACGCUGUUG